UACCAGACUCCUACGGGAGGCAGCAGUGGGGAAUAUUGGGCAAUGGGCGAAAGCCUGACCCAGCAACGCCGCGUGAAGGAAGAAGGCUUUCGGGUUGUAAACUUCUUUUGACAGGGAAGAGCAGAAGACGGUACCUGUCGAAUAAGCCACGGCUAACUACGUGCCAGCAGCCGCGGUAAUACGUAGGUGGCAAGCGUUAUCCGGAUUUACUGGGUGUAAAGGGCGUGUAGGCGGGGACGCAAGUCAGAUGGGAAAACCAUGGGCUCAACCUGUGGCCUGCAUUUGAAACUGUGUUUCUUGAGUGCUGGAGAGGCAGACGGAAUUCCUAGUGUAGCGGUGAAAUGCGUAGAUAUUAGGAGGAACACCAGUGGCGAAGGCGGUCUGCUAGACAGCAACUGACGCUGAGGCGCGAAAGCGUGGGGAGCAAACAGGAUUAGAUACCCCCGUAUA
Molecule: ribosomal RNA, 450 nt
Filed under: uncultured bacterium
Lineage: Bacteria
Description: bacterial SSU rRNA
Rfam family: Bacterial small subunit ribosomal RNA
Source: RNAcentral